Long non-coding RNA from Peromyscus eremicus (cactus mouse), 1585 nucleotides. RefSeq lists it as uncharacterized. The record is from RefSeq and is a predicted model, not a curated record. The transcript has 3 exons. Lineage: Eukaryota; Metazoa; Chordata; Mammalia; Rodentia; Cricetidae.
GACUAGAGGGUGCCGUAAAGCUUCGGCUCCCUGGGUUCUCAAAGGAAGCGGAUGGACCUCUCCUGAGGUCUAGGAAGAGAUAGACAGGCCAAUGGGCCUGAACCAGUGUCCCUGGUUUCCCACUGACACUCAUGUUCCCAGGGUGGAAGCACAAUGGAAGUGACUGCGGACCGAGUGUAUUUCCAAAUCUUGCUGCUGCUCUGAAGGCAGCCAUUUUGUCUCUUUCCCAUUGUUCUCCUUUGCCAAGUGACUCACACAUCCACACCCCACCCAGAAGGUUAAAGGUCAGGUUGUUGGUCUGGUGGCCUCCAUGGUCUUCAAGGCUCCAAGAAGGUCACUGCUGAGGGAACCGACCCGGGGGCCAUCUUUACCAGACAGUGUUAGGAGCUUCAUACUUCAAUCACCCAACACUGCGCUGGAAGAUGGACCCAGAGCCGGCCUACAGAAAACCAGACCACAGCUGAUCGACUGCUAGAGCGAAGCCGCUGCUGGCUGGCUGGCUGGCUGGGGACCUCUUGAGUGCGCAGACAAUCCCAAGGCCAAAGUCGGCUUCAGGUCAUAGAAGUCCCCCGAGUUCUGGAUCCGAAUGUGGGUCACCUGGUCAUCCACCCUGCAAGGCCCCAGGGAGUGAGGCCCCAGCAUUGGGAAUUUACACUAUGAAAGGUCUGGAACCACCAUGGACUCAGCUCACCCCCAGGGUCAGGAAGACCAAUGGUUAGGAACCAAUUGGUUCCAGCACGGGGAACCAUCCCAUCCUAACCAUCAGAGUCCAACCCAGAGAAGUAUCCAGUGAGAAAACUCAUGAGUACAUGUACACAGACAUGGUUACAUGUAUGCUUCCUGGUCUGCCCCUGCAUGCAGAUGAGUAAGCAUUACACAGACAUAUGCAAGCAGACCUUGUAUAGUAACACAAAUUAUGUGCACCCCAUCAUCUGUGUCCAUCCAUAUACAUACCUUGCUGGGGGCAGAUCCCCAACACAAGGACACAGGAAGUUCCAGGUACCUGCUUAGCGCCACACCAACUGAAACCAGGUCUAGGACUCUUCAUUCCAGAGUUAAGCCCACUUAGUGUGAAGGAGCUUACUAGGUACCUAAUACUCCUGACCCUUUAAGUGUAUCUAAAGAAUGUCAAGCCAGAAAACAAGACACUCCAAUAAUAUGGAGUGCUAUCCUCUGGCAGGAAGAUAAUCGUAAUCUCCCAAGAAGCAAGGCCCAUGGCCCUGGAGUUGGAAGAGCAUUAGGACAAUAUACACAAUCAUCCCAUUUGAGCCCUUGACCACCUAGGAUGUAGGGAUUUUGUCUUUGUUUUAAGGAGGAGGGUCAAGGAGGCUGACAGUCCUAAAUGCAAGUGCCUGGUAUCUAGAAGAGAAAGAACUUCCUCUGGGAAGCAAGGGAUGAAAGAAGACAUCACGACCAAUGGCAAUGCAAGAAGACAGGCCCUGGGUACCGUAGUCAAGACACAGCGAGAUCUUACAUAGCUACUGGACAUCUCUGAGCCUUGGUAUUCCAACCUAAUAAAUGAGCUCAACAGAUUUCCUAAAUUGAGACCUAAAAAGUGAAUAAAGCAACCAGGUGUGGUGGCUUA